GCCGUAAUUAUACUUAUUGUUACAAUCCAUUUAAUAAAAUGCAACAUUUUUUUGUUUUAAUGAAAAAAUCAGUUAUUUUCAUGAGAACGAUUUGUUAUUCCAUAUUUCAAUUUUUUUAAUCUCCAAUCGCAAUAACGUAAAGUAUUAUUACCCGCAAACCAAUGAGUUAAAUUUUAUGAAACAACCCACUGUUAGAAAGCUGAAUGGCUACGCUUUAAAAUGAAUGUAAACUUUAACGUUUUCGUCUAUUAUUUGUUUAGCAAUUUACAUUUCAGUCGAGGAUUG
Non-coding RNA from Paramuricea clavata, 285 nucleotides. NCBI's taxonomy places the organism in Eukaryota, Metazoa, Cnidaria, Anthozoa, Malacalcyonacea, Plexauridae. The record is from the annotation of a GenBank genome assembly.